GAGAAUUCUGUAAGUCCGAGUUAGAGGGUAAUAGGUCCUCUACUUGUACAAUGGGUCUCUCUGUGAUCACUUGUGUAAAACACGAUAUCAUGAAUAGAAUAAGGGGAAUUUAGAUCCUUAAAAUUACUCCUUGUGAGUAGAAUUUGGAGCAUGUUGCUCUCAGACUGAGUAAUCCUCCAAAUGAUAGGUUUAUAGCGACCAUUCUGCCAAUCGCUUCAAGAUGUUUCCAUUUAAUGUCAAGAACCUGCUGUUGCACUUGGACUGGCAGUAGAAUGAUUUUCCCCAACUUUUAUGCAUAACCUAAAGAUCCUUUCUUCUGUCACCAUGUUGUUGAGCUCAUUUUUCUCCUAACCCUUUGUUUUGCGAUAUCCUUCUAAGGUUCCUCCUGGAUGAUGUGUCUGGAUCUAGAUAAGGCAUCUGUUGGAGGUGAACACGAAUUCUUUUUCUCGUAGAUAAGAACAUGCAGGGCCACUAGAGUCUCCGUGGAGCCAAUUUUCUUUGUGUCAGUCAUCGUUGUGGCGAUGACGAUUGAUUCUCAUGAUGUUGGUGGUGAAAGAAGAUGGAAGUUGGAGCAGAAUUUGCCAUUGUUCAGAAGUUUUAAUGUUUGCCAGUGACUUCAGGAUAUAUAUUUCACUGAGCUUAAAAAUUGGAAAACUCCGGAUGAAGCUCAGCUAGGGAUCAAUCUUGCUAGCUGAGCUUAAAUUGCUCAAAGUCAGAAGAAUUCUCUCGACUAAAGUCAUUCUUUAAUCUGCACUUCUUUGCUAUUGCUGAGGACUUCAUUUAUUUUUGGAGGACCUACUAUAGCAGUGGAUGGCAUAUUUAUAUCAUCACAGGAGGUUGGUAGACUUGCUGCAUUAAACUCAUUAUUUAGGAGUGCUGGAGACUAAUAUUGUUCCUAUCCCUCACCGCGCCUCGAGUCCGUGACCUUGAGAUUUGAUUCUCUUUCAAGACCAACCACAAGGCCAGCAAGAAGGCUGGUGCUGCAGACAAACAUUACUCGGAGCGGCUCCGUAUUCUCCAAAGAACGAUUGAGGGGGAGAUACUCUGUGGGAAUGGUCAGGCUGCCUCACAUACAGUGAAACAACGACUGCAAUAGCUUUCUCCAGUUCCAUAUUUCAAAAGAGGAAGCAAAAUUUUGAAGGAUCUCCAAAGACGUCCAGCCGUCCCUAGAGGUGGCCUUAUGGGACGGGUCUCGAAGCCGUCCUCUAUGAGUUGGGCGACGGAUUCCGCAAUAGUCUCCCUUCUUCUCUUCAAUGGCAAGCAUAAAGGCGACGACAGCCGGUGAGCCGUCGGCAGUGAUCAUUAGGGAUGGGUUUUAAAGCUUUUAGGGACGGGUUUGGCCCCCAUCUCCCCUUUCUCAUAGUGUCAGGACGACUCCGAAAAAGAAAAUGACAGUUAUAAAUGUAACCAUAAAUAGAACUUGAAUCGUUC
This is a long non-coding RNA of Syzygium oleosum, 1431 nucleotides long. RefSeq lists it as uncharacterized. NCBI's taxonomy places the organism in Eukaryota, Viridiplantae, Streptophyta, Magnoliopsida, Myrtales, Myrtaceae. The transcript has 4 exons. The record is from RefSeq and is a predicted model, not a curated record.